Molecule: ribosomal RNA, 253 nt
Filed under: uncultured bacterium
Lineage: Bacteria
Description: partial 16S ribosomal RNA
Rfam family: Bacterial small subunit ribosomal RNA
Source: RNAcentral
UACGGAGGGUGCAAGCGUUAUCCGGAUUCACUGGGUUUAAAGGGUGCGUAGGUGGGUCUGUAAGUCAGUGGUGAAAUCUCCGGGCUUAACUCGGAAAUUGCCAUUGAUACUAUAGGUCUUGAAUCAUCUGGAGGUAAGCGGAAUAUGUCAUGUAGCGGUGAAAUGCUUAGAUAUGACAUAGAACACCAAUUGCGAAGGCAGCUUACUACGGAUGUAUUGACACUGAGGCACGAAAGCGUGGGGAUCAAACAGG